Molecule: ribosomal RNA, 1486 nt
Filed under: Acinetobacter junii
Lineage: Bacteria; Pseudomonadati; Pseudomonadota; Gammaproteobacteria; Moraxellales; Moraxellaceae
Description: 16S ribosomal RNA
Rfam family: Bacterial small subunit ribosomal RNA
Source: RNAcentral
ACGCUGGCGGCAGGCUUAACACAUGCAAGUCGAGCGGAGAUGAGGUGCUUGCACCUUAUCUUAGCGGCGGCACGGGUGAGUAAUGCUUAGGAAUCUGCCUAUUAGUGGGGGACAACAUUCCGAAAGGAAUGCUAAUACCGCAUACGUCCUACGGGAGAAAGCAGGGGAUCUUCGGACCUUGCGCUAAUAGAUGAGCCUAAGUCGGAUUAGCUAGUUGGUGGGGUAAAGGCCUACCAAGGCGACGAUCUGUAGCGGGUCUGAGAGGAUGAUCCGCCACACUGGGACUGAGACACGGCCCAGACUCCUACGGGAGGCAGCAGUGGGGAAUAUUGGACAAUGGGGGGAACCCUGAUCCAGCCAUGCCGCGUGUGUGAAGAAGGCCUUAUGGUUGUAAAGCACUUUAAGCGAGGAGGAGGCUACUGAGACUAAUACUCUUGGAUAGUGGACGUUACUCGCAGAAUAAGCACCGGCUAACUCUGUGCCAGCAGCCGCGGUAAUACAGAGGGUGCGAGCGUUAAUCGGAUUUACUGGGCGUAAAGCGUGCGUAGGCGGCUUUUUAAGUCGGAUGUGAAAUCCCCGAGCUUAACUUGGGAAUUGCAUUCGAUACUGGGAAGCUAGAGUAUGGGAGAGGAUGGUAGAAUUCCCAGGUGUAGCGGGUGAAAUGCGUAGAGAUGUGGAGGAAUACCGAUGGGAARGSARCCAUCUGGCCUAAUACUGACGCUGAGGUACGAAAGCAUGGGGAGCAAACAGGAUUAGAUACCCUGGUAGUCCAUGCCGUAAACGAUGUCUACUAGCCGUUGGGGCCUUUGAGGCUUUAGUGGCGCAGCUUAACCSCGAUAAGUAGACCCCGCCUGGGGAGUACGGUCCGCAAGACUUAAAACUCAAAAUGAAUUUGACCGGGGGCCCCCGCACAAGCGGUGGGAAGCAUGGUGGUUUAAAUUCCGAUGCCAACCCGCAGAAGAACCCUUUACCUGGGCCUUGACAUUACUUUGAAACUUUCCAGAAGAUGGAAUUGGUGCCCUUCGGGAAAAUUUAGAUACAGGGUGUUUGCAUGGCUGUUGUCARCUCGUGUCGUGAGAUGUUGGGUUAAGUCCCGCAACGAGCGCAACCCUUUUCCUUACUUGCCAGCAUUUCGGAUGGGAACUUUAAGGAUACUGCCAGUGACAAACUGGAGGAAGGCGGGGACGACGUCAAGUCAUCAUGGCCCUUACGGCCAGGGCUACACACGUGCUACAAUGGUCGGUACAAAGGGUUGCUACACAGCGAUGUGAUGCUAAUCUCAAAAARCCGAUCGUAGUCCGGAUUGGAGUCUGCAACUCGACUCCAUGAAGUCGGAAUCGCUAGUAAUCGCGGAUCAGAAUGCCGCGGUGAAUACGUUCCCGGGCCUUGUACACACCGCCCGUCACACCAUGGGAGUUUGUUGCACCAGAAGUAGGUAGUCUAACCGCAAGGAGGCCGCUUACCACGGUGUGGCCGAUGACUGGGG